Pygoscelis adeliae (Adelie penguin) is the source of this 558-nucleotide long non-coding RNA. RefSeq lists it as uncharacterized. The transcript has 4 exons. The record is from RefSeq and is a predicted model, not a curated record. NCBI's taxonomy places the organism in Eukaryota, Metazoa, Chordata, Aves, Sphenisciformes, Spheniscidae.
GCUCCCGGCGCGGGCGGGAGGCAAAGCACAGUAGGCCUUGCCAGUGGGAAGUGCUGGAGAUGUGGAGUCGUGCCUUUGAACGGCGAUAGGGGUCCCACUUAGCAAUUUCAUGUUUGAAAUAUUCUAGACAUGGAUGAUCACACCUAAAUUAGAAGCAAUGCUCAGGACUUCUUAGGAACAAAUAAUACCUUCUGCUAGAAGGUUUCUCAAGUGUGUUGAUGCUUCAUGAACACGUGUGAGAUCUUGAGUGAAAAGAGUUCCUUGUAAAUUGAUUGGUCUCCAGGGAGGAAACUAGCAUGUGCAAAGGGUUGGAACUGAUGUAAACAUCAGCUUAUGAUUUGAUGAGUGGCUGAUUCAUACUAGAUGACUCCAGUUCUUGCCUGUAAUGUAUUAUCUUGAAAGUGAAAUUGAGAGAAGCAAUGGCUAAAACCACAUCUUCAAUGAUUGUGUUUAAAUAGGAACCUCAUUGUUUGUUGAAACUGAAGUUUCUUAAAAACUGCUGUAAUUUAUUUCUAUGUCUGUGUAGAUUAAUUGAAAUAAAAUGUGAGAAUGCUACCA